GAGAUUUGAGGUGAGAACGGCCUCCUCACGCGCCCACGCUCAAUGCGGGGGCAAAGUAGCACCGGCUGCACGGCAUGCCAUGCGGUCGGUGUGAAGAGAUCCGGAUUUGGGCAUCCCGGCAACGUUU
This 127-nucleotide non-coding RNA is filed under the name Methylorubrum populi BJ001. RNAcentral describes it as "Methylobacterium populi BJ001 skipping-rope RNA". It matches the Rfam family "skipping-rope RNA". Rfam says of the family: Firmicutes, Fusobacteria, AlphaProteobacteria, Spirochaetes. Downstream gene The record is from Rfam by way of RNAcentral. Lineage: Bacteria; Pseudomonadati; Pseudomonadota; Alphaproteobacteria; Hyphomicrobiales; Methylobacteriaceae.